Plutella xylostella (diamondback moth) is the source of this 387-nucleotide non-coding RNA. Lineage: Eukaryota; Metazoa; Arthropoda; Insecta; Lepidoptera; Plutellidae. The record is from RefSeq and is a predicted model, not a curated record.
CGGCGGCGGCGGCGGCGGCGGCGGCGGCGGCGCGCGCACCCAGCCCGCCCCAGUGCGCCUCGGUCUAGCAUCUAGACCACUAUCAGCCGCUGAGCUACCAACAUGCCCGCCCCGUGUGAAUCUUGCAAGGACAGCUGCGGCGGCGGCAAAGCGGCGUGCGGCGCGGGCUGCACGUGCGGCCCGAGCUGCGCCUGCGGGGACGGGAAGGCCUCAGGGGGAAAGCCAUGCUGCCAAGGAUCUAAGAAGUAAUUGUCUCAAUGAGGCUGGAGAAUGACGAAGAUGGAGUGAAGGAUGGCUAUGCUUAGAGUUAAACUACAGUAUUUUAUUAUUUAGGUAUCAGAUAAAUUAUGUUUAGACUGGCUAAUUUGAUAUUUCAGAGAAAUUUAU